RNAcentral lists this unclassified non-coding RNA (608 nucleotides) under Hevea brasiliensis (rubber tree). Lineage: Eukaryota; Viridiplantae; Streptophyta; Magnoliopsida; Malpighiales; Euphorbiaceae. The record is from RNAcentral.
GAGUCGAGGCCGGCCGACGGAGGUAAACCCUCUGCCGGCCCUGUCUAUAGGUGUAUUUAUGCUAAGGAUGGCCUUGUGGAUUUGCCUCCUGGAUUUGAGUCUCCGUGGGAGUUCUUCAGUGGAUCAGCUAAAAGAUUCCCUCAGAAUUCAAUGCUUGGUCGUCGCCAGAUCAUCGACGGGAAGGUGGGUUCAUAUGUAUGGGAAACAUAUGAAGAGGUUUAUGAUACAGCAAUCAAGAUAGGGUGGGCUAUUCGAGGGCUUGGUAUUAAUCCAGGAGGUUGCUGUGGUAUUUACGGAUCGAACUGUCCUGAAUGGAUGAUAGCAAUGGAGGCAUGUAGCAGCCAAGGAAUAUGUUAUGUUCCUUUAUAUGACACCCUUGGUCCUCAUGCAGUAGAGUUUAUCAUCAACCAUGCAGAGGUCUCAGUUGCUUUUGUUCAAGAAAGCAAAAUACCAUCUGUAUUGUUGUGCCUUCCAAGGUGCGCUGUACAUCUCAAAUCAAUAGUCAGCUUUGGAUCAAUUACCGCCGAACAGAGAAAGGAAGCUGAAAACUCCGGUAUCUCUUGCUUUUCAUGGAAGGAAUUUGUUUCAUCGGUAAACGUCAAUGACAC